RNAcentral lists this ribosomal RNA (857 nucleotides) under fungal endophyte. RNAcentral's name for it is "eukaryotic LSU rRNA". The stretch from base 497 to 857 matches the Rfam family "Eukaryotic large subunit ribosomal RNA", at positions 1 to 364 of the family's 3401-position model. The record is from RNAcentral. Lineage: Eukaryota; Fungi.
CAUUAAAGAGUUCUAUAACUCCCAAACCCAUGUGAACAUACCUAACGUUGCCUCGGCAGGUCGCACCUACCUUGUAGCACCCUACCCUGUAGGGCCUACCCGGGAGGUGCGGGUAAGCCUGCCGGCGGCCCACCAAACUCUGUUUGAUAUUGAAUUCUGAACCUAUAACUAAAUAAGUUAAAACUUUCAACAACGGAUCUCUUGGUUCUGGCAUCGAUGAAGAACGCAGCGAAAUGCGAUAAGUAAUGUGAAUUGCAGAAUUCAGUGAAUCAUCGAAUCUUUGAACGCAUAUUGCGCCCAUUAGUAUUCUAGUGGGCAGGACCGUUCGAGCGUCAUUUCAACCCUUAAGCCUUCGUUGCUUAGUGUUGGGAGCCUACGGCAACGUAGCUCCUCAAAGUUAGUGGCGGAGUUGGUUCACACUCUAGACGUAGUAAUUUUUUAUCUCGCCUAUUAGUUGGACUAAUCCCCUGCCGUAAAACCCCCAAUUUAUCAAGGUUGACCUCGAAUCGGUUCAGACAAACUCGCUAAAUUGAAGCAUCUUAGUCAGCGAAGGAAAAGAAACCAACAGGGAUUGCCCUAGUAACGGCGAGUGAAGCGGCAACAGCUCAAAUUUGAAAUCUGGCCCUCGGGUCCGAGUUGUAAUUUGUAGAGGAUGCUUUUGGCGCGGUGCCUUCCGAGUUCCCUGGAACGGGACGCCUUAGAGGGUGAGAGCCCCGUACGGUUGGACACCAAGCCUCUGUAAAGCUCCUUCGACGAGUCGAGUAGCUUGGGAAUGCUGCUCUAAAUGGGAGGUAAAUUUCUUCUAAAGCUAAAUAUUGGCCAGAGACCGAUAGCGCACAAGUAGAGUGAUCGAAAGA